This 492-nucleotide ribosomal RNA is filed under the name uncultured bacterium. RNAcentral describes it as "bacterial SSU rRNA". It matches the Rfam family "Bacterial small subunit ribosomal RNA", at positions 28 to 517 of the family's 1533-position model. The record is from RNAcentral.
GAUGAACGCUGGCGGCGUGCUUAACACAUGCAAGUCGAACGGAGUUGUUUCGCUGACGAGACUUCGGUCAAAUCUUGAAACAACUUAGUGGCGGACGGGUGAGUAACGCGUGGGUAACCUGCCAUAUACAGGGGGAUAACACUUAGAAAUAGGUGCUAAUACCGCAUAAGCGCACAGAGCUGCAUGGCUCGGUGUGAAAAACUCCGGUGGUAUAUGAUGGACCCGCGUCUGAUUAGCUAGUUGGUGAGGUAACGGCCCACCAAGGCGACGAUCAGUAGCCGGCCUGAGAGGGUGAACGGCCACAUUGGGACUGAGACACGGCCCAAACUCCUACGGGAGGCAGCAGUGGGGGAAUAUUGCACAAUGGGGGAAACCCUGAUGCAGCGACGCCGCGUGAGUGAAGAAGUAUUUCGGUAUGUAAAGCUCUAUCAGCAAGGAAGAAAAUGACGGUACUUGACUAAGAAGCCCCGGCUAACUACGUGCCAGCAGCCG